This 255-nucleotide ribosomal RNA is filed under the name uncultured bacterium. RNAcentral describes it as "partial 16S ribosomal RNA". It matches the Rfam family "Bacterial small subunit ribosomal RNA", at positions 524 to 777 of the family's 1533-position model. The record is from RNAcentral.
UACAGAGGGUGCAAGCGUUUGUUCGGAAUUACUGGGCGUAAAGCGUGCGUAGCCGGUAUUGAGAGUCGCGGGUGAAAUCCCAGGGCUUAACCCUGGAACUGCCUGCGAGACCUCAGUACUAGAGUGUGAGAGGGGAUAGUGGAAUACCAAGUGUAGCGGUGAAAUGCGUAGAGAUUUGGUGGAACACCGGUGGCGAAGGCGGCUAUCUGGCUCACAACUGACGAUCAGGCACGAAAGCGUGGGGAGCAAACAGGG